Tetrapisispora phaffii CBS 4417 is the source of this 104-nucleotide non-coding RNA. The record is from Rfam. Lineage: Eukaryota; Fungi; Ascomycota; Saccharomycetes; Saccharomycetales; Saccharomycetaceae.
UGUGAAGGAUGAACUUAUUCUUUGGUCCGUGUUUAUGACGGGAAGUAAGACCCCCGGUAUGAGUGAGACAAAAAGAUGUGAUUAAUUUCAUGAUUUCUGACUAC